RNAcentral lists this long non-coding RNA (673 nucleotides) under Physcomitrium patens. Its description in RNAcentral is "long non-coding RNA (PPAT_LNC000035)". The record is from RNAcentral. Lineage: Eukaryota; Viridiplantae; Streptophyta; Bryopsida; Funariales; Funariaceae.
UUAGGAUUUGAUUUAAGAUUAGGUUUUGGUUAGAGUUUGAUUUAGGAUUAGGAUUUGAUUAGGAUUUGGUUUAGGAUUUAGGAUUUAAUUUAAGAUUUAAGGUUUGAUUAGGAUUUGGUUUAGAAUUUAGGAUUUGAUUAGAAUUUGAUUUAGGAUUAGGAUUUGGUUAAGAUUUAGUUUAGGAUUUAGGAUUUGGUUAAGAUUUGAUUUAAGAUUUAGGAUUUUAUUUAGGAUUUAGAAUUUGGUUAGGGUUUGAUUUUAGAUUUAGGAUUUGAUUAGGAUUUGGUUUAGAAUUUAAGAUUUUAUUAGGAUUUAUUUAGAAUUUAAGAUUUAAUUAGAUUUUGGUCGAAAGUUUGAAUGAAGUCCAAUAUGAUUUUAACUAGAAUUAAAUUAAGAUUGAAUUGAGAUGUAUUUGAGAUAUAUUUGUGAUCAUUCUAAUAUUUCUUUAAGAUUUCUUAUUGUUUCUUUGAAAUUCCUUUGAGGUUUCUUUGAAUUUGAUUAAAGCUUGCUUAGCAUUGUUAUAGUCUAAUUAGAGUUUAGUUAGUAUUCUAUUAGACUUAAGAUUUUGUUGUUGCAAUUUCCAUUCUACCUUCUAUAGCUAGGUGCUCGAAGCAUUCUCAAGCAAGACUUCACGUAUUACGACAACGCUCCUUUUAAUUGCACCUUUAUUGUU